This 273-nucleotide long non-coding RNA is filed under the name Zostera marina. Its description in RNAcentral is "long non-coding RNA (ZMAR_LNC000772)". Lineage: Eukaryota; Viridiplantae; Streptophyta; Magnoliopsida; Alismatales; Zosteraceae. The record is from RNAcentral.
UUUAGAAAAGGAGCAGCAGUCAUCGACUUCCUCAGAAAAAGGUGGGAUCGACAUUUUUAGGGAAGGUCGACAUUUCCAGGGAGAAAUGAGAUCGACUUGCCAAAAAUUCGACACCUUUAGAAGAGGAUCAGCAGUCAUCGACUUCCUCAGAAAGAAGGUGGGAUCGACAUUUUUAGGAAGGUCGACAUUUCCAGGGAGAAAUGAGAUCGACUUGCCAAAAAUCCGACACCUUUAGAAAAGGAAAAAAGAAUAUGGUACUGACCAAGAAAAAUU